RNAcentral lists this ribosomal RNA (253 nucleotides) under uncultured bacterium. Its description in RNAcentral is "partial 16S ribosomal RNA". It matches the Rfam family "Bacterial small subunit ribosomal RNA", at positions 524 to 776 of the family's 1533-position model. The record is from RNAcentral.
GACGAACCGUGCGAACGUUGUUCGGAAUCACUGGGCUUAAAGGGCGCGUAGGCGGCGGAUCAAGUCCGGGGUGAAAGCCCCCAGCUUAACUGGGGAAGUGCCUCGGAUACUGGUUCGCUCGAGGGAGGUAGGGGUCGCGGGAACUUCCGGUGGAGCGGUGAAAUGCGUUGAUAUCGGAAGGAACGCCGGUGGCGAAAGCGCGCGACUGGACCUCUUCUGACGCUGAGGCGCGAAAGCUAGGGGAGCAAACGGG